Molecule: transfer RNA, 70 nt
Filed under: Euborellia arcanum
Lineage: Eukaryota; Metazoa; Arthropoda; Insecta; Dermaptera; Anisolabididae
Description: tRNA-Thr
Source: RNAcentral
UGCCCUGUAGUUUAAAUGAAAAAAAAAUUUUGGUCUUGUAAAUCAAAGAUGCUUUUAUAGGCUAGGGUUG